UUUGGGUUUAAGAAACGGAUAAUUCCAGCCGGUAAAUUGCACGUCAGUGCUUAAACCCCCAUAAACCCAAACCCUGGAGCUUCUUCUCAGACUCCUCUGUGCCUCUCUCAAUUCUCGCCGUCUUUUUUAUCCUUGCAGCUUCAAAAGGGGCUCAGACAUCACAAUGGAGAGGAAGGCUCGUGACAGUGACAGUGAGUUCAAGGACAAUGGCGAUUUCGACUGCGAUGAGCUGAGUGUUACUUUGAUUUGUAAAUUCUGCUAUUGGGUUUCGGUAAUUAUUUGGUUUUUCUUUGGUGAAUUUGUUGUUAGUUGAUGAUUUGUGAUGUAGAUGCAGCAGGAAGAGGAUGACUUUGAUGAUGAACAAGGAGGAAGGAGAAUCAGAAAAUGAGGAAGAAGAUGGAGAAGAAGUGGGGGAAGAGGAAAAUGGUGAUGGGCAAACCUAUAAUAAAGAUGCCGAGAUGGAAGAAUUCGAGAAAGAAUACAUGAAUCUUCAUCAUCAGGAGCGGGAAGAGACUUCUGUUCACAAUCCUUUUAUUUUUAAUUAUAAACUUGUGAUGCAUCAUUAGAAUGAAGACAUAGAGCUAAAUAAUGUGAAUAUAGGAGAUAAUAUGCAUAGCAGUUGAAGGUUGGUGAUGAAAUUUGAUAUUAGGUUAUAGAAGUCAUUGAAUAAUGUAAAUAGUCCGCAAGUGUAGCUAUAGGAAAUGAAUACUAGUGCCAAUUUCAUCUUAGUUCAAGGAUAAUUUUCAGUAUCUAUUUAAUUUAGUUACUAUGAAAGCAUAAAAUGGAGUUAUAUAGGCUGACAUAUGAAUUUAAUCUUGUUCCUCGGUUAUUCUCUCUUCCCAUGCAGAGAUAUUUUAAAGAAAGAUCUUCUUAAAGGUCAAGCAGUGAAGAACCAAAAUUUGCGUUGUUCAAAAUAAUAGCUCUUGUAAUAUCCAUGAAAUAGGUUUUGUUUUUCAACAUCAAAUUAUUGCUCCUUCUUUAAAGCUUCUUUUUAUGCCAAUCCUUAAAUUGAAAAAAAUGAUUUAUAUAGUGAAUUAUUGUCUGAUUGAUGUUCAUUCUUACCCGUUUUCUAUGCCUUUUGUUUUCAUUUUUCUGAAGGCUCUCUGGGACAAAGCUCUUGAGUUCAGAUUCUUGCUUCAGAAAGCAUUCUCAAGUUCACAUAGAUUACCACAGGAGCCAAUUAGGUCUUUAUUUUGUGAUUCACAUGAGGGUGUCAAUGCAGCAUAUUCUGGCCUAGUUAGUGUGUGCAAACUACAGGCUUUACUUGUGAAGAACCCGUCCUUUGUUCGAGCAACAGAUAGUGUGUGCAAACUACAUUUAUCAAACUAUUAUAGUUAUUUUGUAAUACAAUUUGGCUUUCCAUUGUUGUGCAUAAUCUAUCAUUUUCCGCAUGAUAAGAAUUGCCAAUAUGUGAAAGAUCUGUAGAUAUGCUUUGUGUAUUACAUUUUGUGUUUGAAGUUUUUAAUAACCGUUUAAAUUCUCAUAAAGUGUGUUUAGCUUAUAACUAUACUAUUAGCUGAGAUAGAGUUUAAUUUUAUCAAAUCAAACUUUAAGGAAAUGCUUCAAGUUUCCUCGAUUUCAUAUGAUUUUGAGGGUUCCCCAAAUUUCAAUAGUUCCACUACAACAGUUACUAUAAUUAGUCAGAUUAUGCUGGUACUAAGUUAUCAUUAAGAGUGUAAGAGUGUUAAUCAAGAGGAAUGGAUUGAGCUCAGCCUUGCCCAAGCUUAUCCCAAAACACAAAGCAUCGAGGUUGAGCUUGGACUGGCUCAAUUGUUACGUAAAUCUUGGAACAUCAGCUUUGGGUCUGCUGAAUUGUAGUGAAGUUUGUGCUUAGUUCUGAUUGAGGUCAAGCCAGUCCCAAUAUUUGUUGCAGUCGUCAAAAGCAUAAUGUUGGCAGGGAAGGUAAAUCGGUUGGGCCGUUUUGUUGAUCUGAGGAUAGCCAAGAUGAAGCCAGAUUUCAAAUUGCCCUAGGAUAUAUUGACACAUAUCUUUCCUGCUUGAUCUCAUAUAAACCUUAGCCUGAUUUAGCAAAAAAAUUGGCUUUUGGGCUACCAUGGUCUAAUUGACUGUCCUACUUUGUACUGUUUACAUCUUCAUUAACUUCAUACUGCAUAUGUUCAUAUAUUGCUUCUCCUAAUACAUAUCCUGUUCUGUAGGUAAAUCUGGAUGAUCUAAGAUGUCAUAUUCUAUUAUCGUAUUGAAGUAUAUGUGUAAAACUGAAUUUUUUUUUUUCCUUCUUCAUGCCAUACUUCGCUGAUCCAUUUGGAGCAGCAAAAAAGAACUUCAGAAUUUUGUUGUUUUAUUGUUAAAAUUCUCUUAAAUGGUGCAUUCAAGUAGGUUACUAUUAUUGCUGUAUUUCAAUACCUUGGUGUCUAACUUUUGUUAUAUUUUAAUUCAUAGUUCUUAUCAGUUAAUAAAUGAGGCUAUUAUGUAUUUAAAUUUGUCAACUGUUCAAUAUGACAUAUACGAGGCAAUAGUUUUCUGAAAUUUAAAUUCCAUUAGGCACUAAUUAAAUUAGUUUUCUAUCUAAAGGGCAAGCAAAGAACCAUGAAAUGCAUUUGUAAAUUAUACUUGUAAAAAAUCUAUGUUGCCAUAUGUUUACUUUAUGUAUACUCUUGGGCAGUUAUGCUACGAAUUCUUUCAUGCUCCGACAACUUCUCUUGCAUGAAUUUUAGAAAUUUGUUAUACUAUUUUCAACUUUUCAUUAUUGGUGCAUUUCCAUGCGGGUUACUUGGUCCAACCAAGACCUGUCACGUUGUAUCUUGUAGAAUAGCUACUUUCAAAAACAAAUCGAUAGACAAAUGGCAGAGGAAGACAGAUGCAGAUGAGGAAAUCAGUAGUUGUUGUAUUUGGUACUGUAAGAUAAUAACUCCCACGUGCAUGCUCAUUUGUGCUUCAUAAUUUUAAAAUCAUAACAAGAUGGGUUUUUCUUAAGUUUUGUACAUUCAGUAACUGAAACAUAAGUUGUGGAUGUGCAGGUUCUUGAGGGGUACAACACUGCAAAGAGAGAGGAGACACAAUCUGAUGCUGGUGCACACGCUGAUGGUGACCCCGAACUUUUGGAUGACUCUGAGUUUUACCAACAAUUACUGAAAGAAUUUUUUGGGACAAUUGACCCAGCAACUUCUGGUAUAAUGUUUAUGAGAAGAUAGUAAAUUUCAUGGCUCCAGAGACCAUGGCCGUUUCUCCUAUGCUUCCUGACCUCAAUAAUUUGUUCGGGUUGAAGAAGCAGAAACCAGCUUCCGCAGUGUAGUAGCAAUGCAAUGCUGAAUCAGCUGUAUAGUCCUUAGAUCUCAGGCUAAGAAAUUGUCUGCUGUUAAUUUUAUUUGAUAUAUUAUUCAAUCUAAUAUCUGUUGUACUGAUAUUUAUGUAAUUUACACAAUUUUUCAAUGGGGGCAGUCUUUCAGAAGCAUCAUUUUGUUGUAACUGACAAUUAAUAUCUGUAAAUUUGACAUUUAUAAGCAGAUAGGAUGCUUUUGCUUUCCCCUAUGCCGAAAUAUUUUCCCCCAAUUCGAAGAAUUGAUUCUUGCCUGGUA
Non-coding RNA from Malus domestica (apple), 3536 nucleotides. The record is from RefSeq and is a predicted model, not a curated record. NCBI's taxonomy places the organism in Eukaryota, Viridiplantae, Streptophyta, Magnoliopsida, Rosales, Rosaceae.